CUUCAGUUCGCCAAAGUUUGGAAGGUUGUCGGGAUCCAUGAGCUCAACAGGAACGAUGGCUGGGUAUGGAAGGGGCAUGUAUAAGCCCUUCUGAAAUUUUCCUGCAAUAAUAUAAUCAUCAUCAGUGCUUGCAGAUACGAAAAAGGGAUAUGAAUUCAAUUUCGUGUCUUUCCAUGUGAGCAUGUUGAACAGAACGUCGCAAGAGCCAUCACCGAUAAAGAUGCCAGCUGUACAGGCCAGAAGGCCCAAGACUCCAGGCCAGUUAACAGCCAUUUUUUCAGAGCGCAAUUAGUAUUCUGAACAGGCCUGGUAGCCGUUAACCUGCUCAAGUAGGUACGUUGGAUAGUGGAUCAAUUAUGAGAUCGAAUUGUGGCCAUCGAUGCAGUAACGUUGAUUGACUAUCAGAACAUGCUCAGAACCAUUCAAUA
This 428-nucleotide long non-coding RNA is filed under the name Coccomyxa subellipsoidea. Its description in RNAcentral is "long non-coding RNA (CSUB_LNC000224)". The record is from RNAcentral. Lineage: Eukaryota; Viridiplantae; Chlorophyta; Trebouxiophyceae; Coccomyxaceae.